UACGGGGGGGGCAAGCGUUGUUCGGAAUUACUGGGCGUAAAGGGCUCGUAGGCGGCCAACUAAGUCGGAUGUGAAAUCCCCAAGCUUAACUUGGGAACUGCAUCCGAUACUGGAUGGCUUGAAUCCGGGAGAGGGAUGCAGAAUUCCGGGUGUAGUGGUGAAAUGCGUAGAGAUCCGGAGGAACACCAGUGGCGAAGGCGACACGCUGGGUCAUACCUGACGCUAAUACGCGACAGCAUGGGGAGCAAACGGG
This 253-nucleotide ribosomal RNA is filed under the name uncultured bacterium. RNAcentral describes it as "partial 16S ribosomal RNA". It matches the Rfam family "Bacterial small subunit ribosomal RNA", at positions 524 to 776 of the family's 1533-position model. The record is from RNAcentral.